GAUCCUAAGGGGAGGAGAGGAUUU
This 24-nucleotide microRNA is filed under the name Apis mellifera (honey bee). RNAcentral describes it as "ame-miR-3796-3p". The record is from miRBase by way of RNAcentral. Lineage: Eukaryota; Metazoa; Arthropoda; Insecta; Hymenoptera; Apidae.